Molecule: signal recognition particle RNA, 100 nt
Filed under: Candidatus Limiplasma stercoravium
Lineage: Bacteria; Bacillati; Bacillota; Clostridia; Eubacteriales
Description: signal recognition particle sRNA small type
Rfam family: Bacterial small signal recognition particle RNA
About the family: The signal recognition particle (SRP) is a universally conserved ribonucleoprotein involved in the co-translational targeting of proteins to membranes. Archaeal SRP consists of a 7S RNA and homologues of the eukaryotic SRP19 and SRP54 proteins. In most bacteria, the SRP consists of a 4.5S RNA and the Ffh protein (a homologue of the eukaryotic SRP54 protein).
Source: RNAcentral
GGUUGAGUCCCGUGCGAUUUCAGUACGUGAACCCUGUCAGAUCCGGAAGGAAGCAGCAGUAAGCGUUGUCUGGGAUGUGCUGCGGGGGCGCUCGGCCUGA